AGUUUGAUCAUGGCUCAGAUUGAACGCUGGCGGCAUGCCUUACACAUGCAAGUCGAACGGCAGCACGGGAGCUUGCUCCUGGUGGCGAGUGGCGAACGGGUGAGUAAUAUAUCGGAACGUGCCCAAUCGUGGGGGAUAACGUAGCGAAAGUUACGCUAAUACCGCAUACGAUCUACGGAUGAAAGCGGGGGAUCGCAAGACCUCGCGCGAAUGGAGCGGCCGAUAUCAGAUUAGGUAGUUGGUGGGGUAAAGGCUCACCAAGCCAACGAUCUGUAGCUGGUCUGAGAGGACGACCAGCCACACUGGAACUGAGACACGGUCCAGACUCCUACGGGAGGCAGCAGUGGGGAAUUUUGGACAAUGGGCGCAAGCCUGAUCCAGCCAUUCCGCGUGCAGGAUGAAGGCCUUCGGGUUGUAAACUGCUUUUGUACGGAACGAAACGGUCUGCCCUAAUACGGCAGGCUAAUGACGGUACCGUAAGAAUAAGCACCGGCUAACUACGUG
This 504-nucleotide ribosomal RNA is filed under the name uncultured bacterium. Its description in RNAcentral is "bacterial SSU rRNA". It matches the Rfam family "Bacterial small subunit ribosomal RNA", at positions 10 to 507 of the family's 1533-position model. The record is from RNAcentral.